AGAAUCCACGCGAUCAAUAUUUGAAGAUAGUUGCCUCCUAGUACUCCUGAUUGACGCAUAAACAUUUUCAAGCUGUUGGGCUAUAGAAGUGCAAGCAUCAGAUAAACUCCGUCUUGUUGCAAACAUCAUGUCUGGAAGUUUCCAACCCUUCCACCAAAUAUAGCCAUAUCCAACAACACCCACGACAACAAUUACACCAUAUCUACUAGCACCCAAACCUGUCCCACUUGCAGUUACAAUUGUAACUGGUCUGUUUGAUGCUAACAUUUGCAGCUCCUGCCGAAGACUGUCAACCUGAGCCAUCAAAGAAUCAUUAUGUUGCUUGCCAAUUGAUGAGGUAGAAUCAUCUCGUCUAACUUGCUUAAAAGCAAUCUUGAAUGCACCAGAAACCAAGUCAGACACAUUUGACAAGCGCCCCUCUUU
This 423-nucleotide unclassified non-coding RNA is filed under the name Hevea brasiliensis (rubber tree). The record is from RNAcentral. Lineage: Eukaryota; Viridiplantae; Streptophyta; Magnoliopsida; Malpighiales; Euphorbiaceae.